GAGUUUGAUCCUGGCUCAGAACGUACGCUGGCGGCACGCCUAACACAUGCAAGUCGAACGAAGUAGCAAUACUUAGUGGCAGACGGGUGAGUAACAUGUAGGUAUCUUCCCUUUGGCCUGGAAUAACACGAGGAAACUUGUGCUAAUACCGGAUAAGUCUUUACAGAGAAAGCUUUAUGCACCAUUGGAUGAGCCUGCACUUGAUUAGUUUGUUGGUGGGGUAAUGGCCUACCAAGACUUUGAUCAAUAGCUGAUUUGAGAGGAUGAUCAGCCACAUUGGGACUGAGACACGGCCCAAACUCCUACGGGAGGCAGCAGUGGGGAAUCUUGCACAAUGGAGGAAACUCUGAUGCAGCGAUGCCGCGUGGGUGAAGAAGGCCCUUGGGUUGUAAAGCUCUUUCGUCGGGGAAGAAAAUGACUGUACCCGAAUAAGAAGGUCCGGCUAACUUCGUGCCAGCAGCCGCGGUAAUACGAAGGGACCUAGCGUAGUUCGGAAUUACUGGGCUUAAAGAGUUCGUAGGUGGUUGAAAAAGUUGGUGGUGAAAUCCCAGAGCUUAACUCUGGAACUGCCAUCAAAACUUUUCAGCUAGAGUUUGAUAGAGGAAAGCAGAAUUUCUAGUGUAGAGGUGAAAUUCGUAGAUAUUAGAAAGAAUACCAAUUGCGAAGGCAGCUUUCUGGAUCAUUACUGACACUGAGGAACGAAAGCAUGGGUAGCGAAGAGGAUUAGAUACCCUCGUAGUCCAUGCCGUAAACGAUGUGUGUUAGACGUUGGAAAUUUAUUUUCAGUGUCGCAGCGAAAGCGAUAAACACACCGCCUGGGGAGUACGACCGCAAGGUUAAAACUCAAAUGAAUUGACGGGGACCCGCACAAGUAGUGGAGCAUGUGGUUUAAUUCGAAGAUACGCGCAGAACCUUACCAACACUUGACAUGUUCGUCGCGACUUUAAGAGAUUAAAGUUUUCGGUUCGGCCGGACGAAACACAGGUGCUGCAUGGCUGUCGUCAGCUCGUGUCGUGAGAUGCUGGGUUAAGUCCCGCAACGAGCGCAACCCUCACUUUUAGUUGCCAUCAUUAAGUUGGGCACUCUGAAAGAACUGCCAGUGAUAAGCUGGAGGAAGGUGGGGAUGACGUCAAGUCCUCAUGGCCCUUACGUGUUGGGCUACACACGUGCUACAAUGGUAUCUACAACAGGAAGCAAGACGGCGACGUUAAGCAAAUCCCUAAAAGAUACCUCAGUUCGGAUUGCACUCUGCAACUCGAGUGCAUGAAGCUGGAAUUACUAGUAAUCGUGGAUCAGCGUGCCACGGUGAAUGCGUUCCCGGGUCUUGUACACACCGCCCGUCACACCAUGGGAGUUGGUUCUACCUUAAGGCAAGGUUUCAAACCCUUGACCACGGUAUAGUCAGCGACUGGGGUGAAGUCGUAACAAGGUAACC
RNAcentral lists this ribosomal RNA (1435 nucleotides) under uncultured marine bacterium. RNAcentral's name for it is "bacterial SSU rRNA". It matches the Rfam family "Bacterial small subunit ribosomal RNA". The record is from RNAcentral.